UCGUGCUCUAAGCGUAGUAACCAAAUUCUCGCUUCUGAAGCCGGCCCGGGUCCUGCCGUAAAACCCCCUAUAUUUUUCUGGUUGACCUCGGAUCAGGUAGGAAUACCCGCUGAACUUAAGCAUAUCAAUAAGCGGAGGAAAAGAAACCAACAGGGAUUGCCCUAGUAACGGCGAGUGAAGCGGCAACAGCUCAAAUUUGAAAUCUGGCCUUCGGGUCCGAGUUGUAAUUUGCAGAGGAUGCUUUUGGCGCGGUGCCUUCCGAGUUCCCUGGAACGGGACGCCUUAGAGGGUGAGAGCCCCGUACGGUUGGACACCAAGCCUCUGUAAAGCUCCUUCGACGAGUCGAGUAGUUUGGGAAUGCUGCUCUAAAUGGGAGGUAAAUUUCUUCUAAAGCUAAAUACCGGCCAGAGACCGAUAGCGCACAAGUAGAGUGAUCGAAAGAUGAAAAGCACUUUGAAAAGAGGGUUAAAUAGCACGUGAAAUUGUUGAAAGGGAAGCGUUUACGGCCAGACCUUUUCCUGGCGGAUCAUCUGGUGUUCUCACCAGUGCACUUCGCCAGGUUUAGGCCAGCAUCGGCUUCUGUAGGGGGAUAAAAGCAGUGGGAAAGUAGCUCCCUCGGGAGUGUUAUAGCCCUAAGCAUAAUACC
This 646-nucleotide ribosomal RNA is filed under the name Sordariomycetes sp. RNAcentral describes it as "eukaryotic LSU rRNA". The stretch from base 83 to 646 matches the Rfam family "Eukaryotic large subunit ribosomal RNA", at positions 1 to 575 of the family's 3401-position model. The record is from RNAcentral. Lineage: Eukaryota; Fungi; Ascomycota; Sordariomycetes.